CAUGUAUACAUAUGUAACUAACCUGCACAUUGUGCACAUGUAUCCUAGAACUUAAAGUAUAAUAAUAAUAAAAUUUAAAAAAAAGAAUAAAAAUCACUAAAAGAUUAAGCUUGCCUCAGUUUCGAGAUAAAUGUAUAAGCAUUUAAAAGAGAAGCCUAAAUACCACCACCAGAAUAUGUGGUGACGCAAGGAUAUUUACUAAAGAAUUGAAAGUUGAGUUGCUAAACUUAAUCAACAAUGUUGAUAAAAAUGAAGAUUGCCAACGUAGGUGUUAAGUUUCCAUCAGUAGUGGCAAAACUUGUGAAAACAGACUGAAGUCAUUGGUACAUCAUUAGUGAAGACCGGACUACACCCUGAAACACAUGAGAUACACACCAUUAACUCUUCCAAAGGCUAUACUAAUUCCAAACAUGGAAUAACUGCCACCCAUUUCAUGGCAAAUCUCUUUCUAAUGUGGAUACCUUUCUUAGAAAGAAGCGAUAAGCCUUUGACAAAAGCGUCCUACAUGUAGAAGUGUCCUUGGCAAUGAUCCCUUAAAGGAAAGAAGACAUUGUGCGAAAAAAAGGAAGGCCUUCUUUUGUUCCUCACACCACACCAAAUCCUCCAAGUAUAUGCUCUUACAACAUUCCAAAAUCUUCAUUCACUAGAUUUAACUCAACUAUGUUUAAUUAACUAUUCGUAUAAUCCCCUACAAAACUCCAAACUCCAUAAGGGCAGGUACUUCAUUGUGUAUGUUGUCUUUUACAGGCAAGUCUAGUGUAUGCCUGGUGCAUAUUAGGUCCAUAAGACAUAACGCUAAAGUUAAAAACAAGUGAAUGAAUCACAAUUUACUCUUUGCUAUUAUUUUGUCUCAAAUAUCUGGGAGCACUCAUGUCCUAUUGCCAUAACUGACCUAACCCCCUUGGGUAGUGCCAGAAGAUGUAAUUUGUCUCCUUGGGUCCUUGAAUCACAAUCUGCUCUUCAUUCAUUUUUUUUUUGUCUCAAACAUCUUGGAGCACUCAUAUCCUAUUGCCAUAAUUGACCUACUCCGUCUUGGGUAGUGCCAGAAGACGUAAUUUGCCUCCUUGGGUCCUUUAAUGAAUUGAAUUGUGUUCUCUCAAAAGAUAUACUGAAAUCCUCAACCCCUGCUGCCUAUAAAUGUGACCUUUAUUUGGAAUAGCAUCUUUGCCAAUGUAAUCAAGUAAUAUAAGAUCAUUAGGGUGGGCUCCGAUCCAAUAUGAUUUGUGUCUUUAUAUGAGGAAAAUGUGGACAUAAACACUGAGAGGAGAAUGCCAUCUGAAGACAGGGAGAUGGCCAUGUGAAGACAGAGGCAGAGAUUGGAGGAGUUAUGUUGCCACAAGCCAAGGAGCACUAGGAUUACCAGAAGCUGAAAGAGACAAGGAAGGAUCCUCUCCUAGGGGCUUUGGAGGGAGCAGAGCCCUGACAACACCUUGACUUCUAACUUCUAGAACUGCAAAAGAAUAAAUUUCUGUUACUUUAAGCCAGCAUUUGUAGUACUUUGGUACAGCAGCCCUGAGAAACUCAUGCAAGUCUUUUCAGAAAAGAAGUAAUUCAGAAGCAGAUAAACUGAGAACCUGGGCAAGUGGACAGACUGCAGAAUCAUCUCUGGCACUCAGUGAUCUUCUUGUCCCCUCAUAUUCAGGACUCACUUCACUAG
Molecule: long non-coding RNA, 1657 nt
Filed under: Homo sapiens (human)
Lineage: Eukaryota; Metazoa; Chordata; Mammalia; Primates; Hominidae
Description: HSALNT0315478
Source: RNAcentral